This 494-nucleotide ribosomal RNA is filed under the name uncultured bacterium. Its description in RNAcentral is "partial 16S ribosomal RNA". It matches the Rfam family "Bacterial small subunit ribosomal RNA", at positions 28 to 507 of the family's 1533-position model. The record is from RNAcentral.
GACGAACGCUGGCGGCGUGCUUAACACAUGCAAGUCGAACGGUGAAGCGCCUUCCUUUUUGGUGGGUGUGGAUGAGUGGCGAACGGGUGAGUAACACGUGAGUAACCUGCCCCCUUCUUCUGGAUAACCGCAUGAAAGUGUGGCUAAUACGGGAUAUUCUGGGUCUGUCGCAUGAUGGGUCUGGGAAAGAUAUUGUUUCGGUGGGGGAUGGGCUCGCGGCCUAUCAGCUUGUUGGUGGGGUGAUGGCCUACCAAGGCGGUGACGGGUAGCCGGCCUGAGAGGGUGGACGGUCACACUAGGACUGAGACACGGCCCAGACUCCUACGGGAGGCAGCAGUGGGGAAUAUUGCACAAUGGGCGCAAGCCUGAUGCAGCGACGCCGCGUGAGGGAUGGAGGCCUUCGGGUUGUGAACCUCUUUCGCCAGUGAAGCAGGCCUGCCUCGUUUGUGGGUGGGUUGACGGUAGCUGGAUAAGAAGCGCCGGCUAACUACGUG